RNAcentral lists this ribosomal RNA (580 nucleotides) under Trigonopterus sp. 126 AR-2022a. RNAcentral describes it as "SSU rRNA". It matches the Rfam family "Eukaryotic small subunit ribosomal RNA", at positions 23 to 579 of the family's 1831-position model. The record is from RNAcentral. Lineage: Eukaryota; Metazoa; Arthropoda; Insecta; Coleoptera; Curculionidae.
GUCAUAUGCUUGUCUCAAAGAUUAAGCCAUGCAUGUCUCAGUACAAGCCAAAUUAAGGUGAAACCGCGAAAGGCUCAUUAAAUCAGUUAUGGUUCCUUAGAUCGUACCCACAAUUACUUGGAUAACUGUGGUAAUUCUAGAGCUAAUACAUGCAAACAGAGCUCCGACCGGAGACGGAAGGAGUGCUUUUAUUAGAUCAAAACCAAUCGGUGGCGGGUUCACGCUCGUCAUCGUACAACUUGGUGACUCUGAAUAACUUUAUGCUGAUCGCACGGUCAUCGCACCGGCGACGCAUCUUUCAAAUGUCUGCCUUAUCAACUGUCGAUGGUAGGUUCUGCGCCUACCAUGGUUGUAACGGGUAACGGGGAAUCAGGGUUCGAUUCCGGAGAGGGAGCCUGAGAAACGGCUACCACAUCCAAGGAAGGCAGCAGGCGCGCAAAUUACCCACUCCCGGCACGGGGAGGUAGUGACGAAAAAUAACGAUACGGGACUCAUCCGAGGCCCCGUAAUCGGAAUGAGUACACUCUAAACCCUUUAACGAGGAUCAAUUGGAGGGCAAGUCUGGUGCCAGCAGCCGCGG